This 829-nucleotide long non-coding RNA is filed under the name Physcomitrium patens. RNAcentral's name for it is "long non-coding RNA (PPAT_LNC012849)". Lineage: Eukaryota; Viridiplantae; Streptophyta; Bryopsida; Funariales; Funariaceae. The record is from RNAcentral.
ACAACAAUUACUAAGUUCACACAAUUCCUACCAAAACCAACCUUAUGUCUCUAAAACAAGCUUCAAUCUAGUUCUCAAAUCCUAAUCUCCAAUCUUCAAAUAAAACCCUAUUUUAUCCUAGGCGGUCAUUUUAGUGGCUAGAGGUCUAAUUUUGAUUCUAUCUUACAAAUAGUAUUGUAAUACGUGAAGUCUUGCUUGACAAUGCUUUGGACACAUCACUGUAGAAGGUAGAAUGGAAAUUGCAACAAAAAAAUCCUAAUUCUAAUAGAACACUAACUAAACUCUAAUUAGACCAUAACAAUGUUAAGCAAUCUUUUAUCAAAUUCAAAGAAAUCUCAAAGGAAUUACAAAGAAACUAUAAGAAAUCUUAAAAAUUAUUAGAAUGAUCACAAAUAUUUUUCAAAUACAUCUCAAUUCAAUCUUAAUUUAAUCUUGGUUAAAAUCCUAUUGGACUUCAUUCAAACUUUAGGCCAAAAAUUAACUAAAUCUUAAAUCCUAAACAAAUCAUAAUAAAAUCCUAAAUCCUAAAUCAAAUCCUAAAUCCUAAACCAAACCCUAACCAAAUCCUAAUCCAAAUCAAAUCCUAACCAAAUCUUAAAUCCUAAACAAAACCCUAACCAAAUCCUAAUCCAAAUCAAAUCCUAACCAAAUCUUAAAUCCUAAACCAAACCCUAACCAAAUCCUAAACCCUAAAUCAAACCCUAGUAAUUCCUAUAAUAGAUUUAAAUCUCAAUAAUAAAUAAAUUAACUAUUGAUCUUAACUCAAAAUUUGCAUACUUCUUAACAAUUAAGUUGAUAACAAGCACAAAAAAAUUGAAAAUGAUUGAAA